AUUGAUUAUGCUUAAUUUCUUGUUUCAGGUUAUGUUACAGGCAGCGAUAUAUUUUUGGCAAGGUGAAAAUACAGGAGUGUUUGUUGCAGAGUUACAAAGCAGUCCUGAUACAGAGAGGAAACUGGAAGACUCCAAGAAUGUGUUUUUUCCCUGAUGUUCCACUCAGAGUCCUUGUCAAAGUAGAUUUUGCAGACUGUUCAUAAAUUAGAAGCUGAAACAUGACUUUGUAUAAAAGGUGCACCUCUCCAAAUUCCUGCUUCCUUACUUCAACUGACAUCCUUGUGCUUAAACCAGCUUCAUUGUGAGUAUUCAGAGGAAAUAUGACAGUAAUUUUUGAAAGGAACCAUAGGCAUUAGUGAACUAAAAAGUUCCAGCAAAAUUAACUUCUAAAAAUGAUAAAUUUGCAAAUGGAUUUCUAAAGCAUAUUUUCUUCAGAGGAGAAGGUACAGCCUUGUGGUUAGGCCCUAGUUAUAACUUUGAGAUUCAGGUUCAGCUGCUGAUUUUAAAGCAAUUGUGUGCAACAGGGCAAACCUAUUCAUUUCUGUAAGUUGCAGAUCUGAAAAAUCAGCUUGCUUACUGACAGAAGUGUUUAUGUGACUACAUGUAUUUAUGAUUUGAGCAAAUGCUGUGGCAGUGGCAAUUUGAGUAAUUAAAUAUUAGAGAUCUGUUUUUCAGAGGAUAUCAUUUGGCUUUUUCAGAUUUUUCUCUCCUACUUUAUUAAAAAAAAACCAACUGUUCUACCACAAACUUUGUUCAGGCGAUUGUUAAUAGGUGACAGUGUUCUAUUAUAUCGUAAAAUGUGAGGCAUUCAGAGCUAGGAAGUAUAUUAUCAAGAGUUUUCUAGAAAUGCACUGUUAAUUGUCAUGUUUUUAACUCCUUUUGUAAUGGGAAAGCAAUAACUGCUUUUUUUUUUACAAUUUGUUACCCUGGCUGAAAGAGUUAGUUUAAAUCUGGAUGAUGAAUGACUGUUACCUGUUUAGGUUUAUUUAACUGGAAUAACAGUGAAUUAAUGUUUCUUCUCUUCUGAUUUAUUCAUUUUAAAAAGAUACUUGUUAACAAAAUCUUUUUGUGAUAAUUGAUUCAAGGUAAAAGUUGAUCUGCAUUUUCACCUAAACAUCUUAAGUCAAAAGAACUAUAUUAUAAGUGCUUUUGCUAUGGACCAUAUUUUCCCACAUAUUAGUGCAAUAUUCUGCACAGUUAAACCUUAAAUUCUGAAUUGAGUCUUUUGGUGCUAUCAUAAAAAUAUAACCAAAACUGUACAUAGUAACCAUUGUUAUUAUAAAAUAGGUGUUGACUUUUAUGUACUUAGAAGAAUUUGUACAAACUUAUGAUUUGCUUUGGGUCUUUAUUGUUAAUGUAGAUACUGAAUAUUCUAGGAAAUGCAAUGUCUUGUGUUAAUACAGGACCAUGUCUUAAAAGACUCAUCCAAUGUGCCCAGCAUACUACCCAAUUUAUUUAAAUCACACUAUUCACUUUACUGUGAAUUUAUAGUCAUAAGGGUUCUCUGUAUUUCUAGCUCAGUAGUUAAAGCUACUAAAAUGUCAUUCCCAAUAAAAAGCUAAUAGUUUCA
Dromaius novaehollandiae (emu) is the source of this 1570-nucleotide long non-coding RNA. RefSeq lists it as uncharacterized. The transcript has 2 exons. NCBI's taxonomy places the organism in Eukaryota, Metazoa, Chordata, Aves, Casuariiformes, Dromaiidae. The record is from RefSeq and is a predicted model, not a curated record.